This is a long non-coding RNA of Cavia porcellus (domestic guinea pig), 6994 nucleotides long. RefSeq lists it as uncharacterized. The record is from RefSeq and is a predicted model, not a curated record. The transcript is spliced from 6 exons. Lineage: Eukaryota; Metazoa; Chordata; Mammalia; Rodentia; Caviidae.
AUGCAUGGCCUUCAGCUAUUCAUACACAUGUUACAGUGUCGACAUCAGAUAAAUAUUUAUUUAAUGAUAAAGGUUAUGAAUUUAAAUUCUGUGCUCUCAUACCAAAAUUUCAUUUCAAUUCUUGGAGUCCUAUGGGAGUCACAGAGUAGAUGUCUGUUAGUGCUAUGGAAAUAGUAAGGUCAAAGUAAGACUAGCCAGAUCAGUGGUGCACACCUGUAAUCCUGGCCCUCAGGCUGAACUAUGUAGGGAGAGCCUGUCUCAAAACAAAACAAAACAAGGAUAAAGGAGUCCCUUUUAAUCACUUGUCCCCAGUGACCUCUCUCCUGCUUCUCACCCUCAGGAACCCAGGUGCUUCGAAGCUAUUGUUUGUCCUCUGCUACUCAUGGCAAGGCCUUGCACCACCACUUAAGCCAUGUACUAAGGAGUCCAGCCUUUCCUGGAAGAGCCCAUUCAUCUUUUGUAAUAUACAUUAACAAGAAUAAGUGAUUUCUUAUGCUGAGCUAAAUAUCUGUCUCUUUUUGGCUCCUAAGCUCAGCUGUGAACUUCUGGGGGUCAUUCUGUCCCCACCCUUUGCCCUGCCUGAUAAGCCAUAAGUGUUCGUAGAACAAUGAGCAGCUGGACAGGGUCCCAGAUGUAAACACAGCAGGCAGUGGGCUGCCCAUACCAAUCACAGACAUGGUGAGAAAAAAAGGAGGAAAUCAAGGGAGUCAGGAAAAAAAAGGGGAGCAGAUUCUGGAGGAGGUGACGAGUCCAAAUUCAAACCUUAGUGGAACCAAGAAGGAAGUGAUAAAACCUAAAAAAUAAAUGAAAUCAUUUCCGGUGAGUAUCCAGCGGAAGGGAGUAAUGAGAUUAUAGCUCAAGCAGUUAUGCUGAUCAAGCUAUAAAUAGGCCAGCAGGAUUGUGACUAUAAUGUUACUUAAAGGAAAAUAGAGGGUGCCGUCAUGCUGGUUAACCAGAGAAGGAGUGGGAAUGUGAACUUGGCAUGAAUGACUUACAAGGAAAUAAAAUAAGAUUGUUCAGGGCGAAGGAGAGAAUGUCGCCAGCAGUUGGCCUGAAUCUGAGACCUAGCCCAGGGCAGGUGUGGUGGACAUCUGCAUCUUGCUGCUUCCCAGAGAAGUGGUUCUGUUUCCCUGAGACCAAAAUCCCUGCAAAGGUGUCAGAUGAUGGAAUUAGAGCUUCCUGCUAAUUUUCAACAAGCCGAGUACCUGGUCAGGCUGACUUAUUGGAAGACUGCAUGGAUCGAUUGAUGGAUGGUUAGAAAAAGCAUCACAGAGAGGAUUUUACUGUCAGCUAAUGACAAUGCAGGCUGCCUAAUCAUCAUUUCCUGUCUCUUAGCUGGGCUUGCAGCUGUCAGGGUUCCAGGGAAAGGAGCUCUGAGAAGAAUCUAAAGGACACUUCCCCAAGAUGGGUUUCCAGGACAUACGAGGCUGGCACUCAGCAGGAGCAGUCAUCUGUCCAUCUGUCCCAGUCUAGACCCUGGCAGUGCUAGCUGUGGGGGGCCCUGCAGGGUGCUGCAUCACAUUUUCAGAGGCCUUGGCUCUGGGUAUCUCACUCAGUUCUGCAAGGCCUCCAAGAGCAGUAACUCAACUGGAGGACAUGAAUGACAGAUGGCAACAGUGUCACUAGAGGGUUUGGCUCUUCAGUUCAGGCUGGACUUCAACUCACUUUGUAGCCCAGGUGGCCCCAUGAAUUCACAACCAUCCCCUGCCUCAGCCUCCCAAGUGCUGGGACAGCAGGCAUGCACCACCAUGCCCAGCUUCUCGCCACUUUCUACAGCGGUUCUGGAAGUCCUCUUUCACAUCCUUAUGAGAUGUGAUCAAAAAUACGGUGAAUGCAGAUAUUGUGUAUCGUCCAGUAGAAAAGCAGAUUCGUAAAACAUUACCGUGUGUCCUCCACACCCUGUGCACUGGACCUGGCACCGUGUGACUUCUGGCUCUUCCCACACUCAAAACCACCAUGAAAGAGAAAUAUUGGAAAUCUUUUUGAGACAUCAAGAUAACCAAGACAGCAGCACAACUAAAGAUACAAAAAAUGUCCAGGACCGCUUCAGAAAGUAGCACCAUUUUUGGAAUGAGUGUUCAAGGAAAGUAUUUCUGAGGAGAUUAAAGGCAACAUGCAUUUUACUGUUCAAGAGGGUUUUUUCAGUAUGUUUUCACUGUAUUCUUUGAUCAUACUUUGAGAAUUAGAGAAAUCAAAAUUCAAAGAAGUUUCUUCUCAAAAAAUCAACCUAUGUAAUUCUCUUAUUUAGGUAAUAACAAGGCAGAGGGCAGACAGAUUUAUUGUUUUUUCAGACAUAUAUAGCAUCAGAAUGAAUUUAACCCAGAUCCUCUGUUCUGAUUUGUGACCAAGGAUCAUCAACCUGUUGUAAAAUGAAAAAUAGGACAAUUUAGAAUACUUUCUAAAUGUGAAUCAGUUCAACUUAAAGAAUCAUCCUUUAUCUCAAGGUUUGUGCCUUUUAAGGCCUUCUACUUUUUUUUUUUUUUUUUUUUUUUUGCAAUUAAAAUCUUGCCUCUGUUAGGCAAUAAUGACCCCAGAUGUAUUUGGAGUUUUGGGGGUUUUCUUAAUGCCCUGAUUUUGGCAAUCCUAAAGCAAUUCAUCACCACUGUCCCUUUUUUUUCAAAUAAACAAACGUCUGAGAACAGCAAAAUAGAACACCUGUUUCCAAAUAGAGCAAGGCAGGAGUCACAGGCAGGCCUGCUGGGAGAAAGAGAUGGAGGGAGCCACUCCAGGUUACCUUCAUAAACAAGCAGCCAAAGCCCGGCCAGGCUCCUCCAGAAUCCCCCUCCUCCUGCUCUUCACUCCUUCAUCUCCCAGUGAAUCAGAACCUUCUGGAGUCCUUGGGCCUGACUCUUACACGUGGCCUCCCUGGGUCACCACGCACGUGGCCAGCAUGGGUGGGAAGGAGACUCUUGCUGGCUGGGCCCUACCUUAGAAUGCAAAGGGCUUGGGUAUUAUUUCUGCACUAAUCUUAAGCUCUUUGCUUCAGGAAAGAAUGUGAAGAUCCAAGGGAAGACUUUUAGAACACAAAAGGAGCUAAACUCAAUGUUUCUCUGCUCUGUUAUUAACCCCUCGCUCGCUCCUGCUCGUAGGGAAGGGGAGGCCCAGUGACUAGAAAGGUUUCGUCAGGCCCCAGUGAGUCUCUACCGCAAUGUCCUGGAAGACCAGUUGGACCAGACCAUUCAGAUUCCGGCUUAUACUUAACAGAGGCCUCUGAAGCUCUCAAAGGAUUAAUGUGAAGGUGUACCCCGGGCUCUCCAUCCUGGGGGCUCCUCAGCUGCCAGCUCACCCGUUACAGCAAGGAGGAUGUGAUGGGUUUUGAAAGAGGAAGGAGGCAGUGAGAAGUUCAGAGAUCUGAAAACGUUUUCAAGGGAAAAGGAAACCAAAACAGGAAAGAAAUAUGUGGUCAACACUUAUCGGUAUAUCCUCCUUUUGGGUUGAAUUUCUUUUCAUCCAUUGCUCAGCCUAGCGAUUAUGUAAGCGACAGAGUCAGAGGACACUAUGAGGGCAAAGGACACAUUUCUGGGUCCUUAGCCUGUUGCUAUGAAAAAGCAUGAUCCGCAUCUUCUUCUAGGGCAAUCAGAAACUGAAAAGUGGUUUUUUUUGGGCUAAAACCUAUGACUCUGCGCUUGGGUGUCCAAAUGCCUAUCUCAUCUAAUCAAGAUCAGAACAAAUGGGGGCUGGGGAUUUAGCUCAGCGGCAUAAGCGCCUACCUUGCAAGCAGGCAGUCAUGAGUUGGAUCCCCGGGACCGAUAAAAAGGAAAAAGACAAAAAAAAAUCAGAACAAAUUUGCCUUCUUCUUUGUAGGCUUUAUUAUCUUAGAACAUUUGAUUAGACAUUAUGUAAUUUUCAGGAAUCAGCUGGACAUUCAUUCAAUUGCCAGACUUCACAUCUGGCUCCAGAUCCUAGCCCCUCAGAGUGAUACCUAGAGGUUUCCAGCAUUGUCUCCAAUCUUUAGUCACCUGGGACUCAGGAAAAGCAGACUGAAAGCCUCGAAGACAGAGGUAACCAUGGAGGCUCCCCAGACCCCAGCCUACCUCCAUACUAGAUCCCUUGCUUCUGCAGCGGGUCAGUCUGAACCCCUAUGUCAGAAUAUGGAGUGCUUCCCUGGCUUCAUUUUUACUGUUCAAACAAAUCAAAUUCACCAUGGUUUAAUUUUAAUUUUCAUUAGCACUAAAAGUAAAGCCCCACACUAACCAGUGACAGGGACCAGACGGUUUUCACUGGGGAGGACUGCUCUGGUAAGGUCGCAUCUGGCCGAGGACCAGGCUGCCUCUGCCUCUGGACUAUGGUUUGGACAAUUUCAGGAGUGCUGGCUGCAGAGAGGAGGGAGGGGCCCGACAGGGACCAGGAUGCUGUGUGAUAUAUCAAUUACGAGGCCCUUGGGUGCUUUCUGGUUCCAUCUGCACAAUGCCACAUGGGCUUGUUUGACAGAGCAGGAAGCAGCUGCUCGGAGCAGUCAGGGUGCUUGCCCCAGGUCACGGGAUUAAAGAGGACAGAACCAGCUCUGUGUAAUCCAGGGUCAGUCUGGCACUUGAAGCAGCUCCUUCUGUCUCCUUAGUGAUCUUUUCUCAAAAUCAGGCUUCAAGCUACCUGGCUAACACCUGGGGGCAUGAGGAUGAGGGGGAUUGUAGUUUUUGAGCCAUAUUGUGACAUCUAGAGAAUCUAAGGGACAAAGAGAAAUAAUCCACUAUGGACACAGAAGGUGGCCUUGACCUGUCCGUACGAGGCUUCCUAUCUCCCUCUGUGUCUAAAGUUCUGAACCAAAAAUCUAUAUAGGACACCAGAGGCCACUCUGGCACAGAAAGAAAGAGCAAAUUUCAUUCAUUAAAAGCAAAUAAACAAAACCCCAAAAACUUGGAUUCCAGAUUGUAACUGUCUGUCCCAGCCAAUGAGCAGGUGAAUGCCGUGAGUUUUACUUUUCUGACAAUUUCUAGAGUUGAGAAACAUUGCUGUUGUACUCAUGACAUCUUGGGUAUGGAACAAUUAUUCAUUCUUUCAUUUCAGGUAAUAUUAACCAGUGUCAAGUAGUUCAUGUUUAGAUAUAUAAAGAGAAAUAUGCCUCAGAAAAUAAAAACACAAUCUGAUAUUUAAGCGUAAGGAAGCAGAAGUGUUAGGGUUGCAACACGUGGCCUUUGCACAGCCCAGGAAAUCCUCUGGCUUCUGCUUCAGGGAUCUGAAGACUGUUUACAUUCCAGUGGAAUUCCUGGGAAAGUCCAGAGCACGACACACUAUGAAAACAAUGGCUUAUGGACAUAAAUUUCCACUGUGUAAUCUGAGACAGGGAGGCAAGGCCAGGAGGGUCCCUGGAUGGGACUGGGCUGGACCAGCAUUCUGUGGGAUCCUUCACCUGUUUGCUGCACCUAAAACUGUUUGGAGGGUAUGUGGACUCCUUCUGGAGAAGCCAAGCUUAGCCAAUCACUGCUGCACCUCUCACUUCCAGGAGCAGCUAUUGCUAAAAAUUUCUGUAAGUUUUCAGAGUGGCAGCCACACCCAGAGUGGGUUAGGCACUUGUAAGAUGUGGGAACCUCCUUGGUUUACUAGGGAGUCUGGAGACAGAGCCAGCCACAGCUAGCCGCAGGCAACACUAAAUCCUUCCUUUUGCAGAACAGGAAAUAGAGGCCCCAGAAAUUCAAUGCAUUAAAGUUCCACAGUGGCAGAGCCAAGGCAGAAAGCCAAGUUUCAUUUACCUACUCAACACAUAUUAAUCAAGCUCUAUCCUGGGUUCCGCUGUCAACUUACACUAACAACGGAGAAGACAGCUUUCAGCAGACUUGAGUUUGAGAAUAAGAGACAUGGGGUUGCUGUCUAUGAUGCACAGGUGAGAACAAGUCACAAGGACAUCUACCGAGAUCCAGGUGAGGGGAAGUUUUCUAAAGAGAAAACCAAGCCCAAAUAAGUUACUCUGAAACAAGGCUCAGAAUGAGGCUUUAUCUGACUGUUUUAGCCUUGAAAAAUUUCUUGUGAUAAGCCUUGUUACAGAAAUUCAUGCAGGCAUGCAGAGUGAGCCAGGUAUGCCUGGGAAAUAAGAUAUCAGCGGCAUGCAAGAUGGGAAGGGUUUAAAACACUCCCAGGAGAGUUCUUAUUCAAACACACAAGCAUGAGUACCCCACGCUCCUCUUCCAUGACUUCCUGACUGCUUUUUCUAUGUUUGACAAGAGUGACUUCAUCUUGGUGUUGGCAACUGUCACGUUCACCUUUCAGGAGGGAAAAAGUAAGGAGUCAAAGAGUGAAAGAGAGAUGGAUUUGGGAGUAAUCUCACCCUCCGAUUGUGUUAUCAACCUCCUGAGAAGGAAAAGCCAUAUUCUUAUUUCUAUCUAGAAGAACACGGAAAUAUCAUUGCUCUGGCCAAGAGUGGCCUUGAGGAGGUGAGCAUGUCACCCAGUCUUAGGCAAGCAAACCUGAAGGAAGCUUGUUACAAGGCUUGGAAGUGUCACUGGGAGCCCAGAGUGUUGUCAAUAGGGACGUGCUGCCUGGAGUGACGGGAGCCUGAGGCUGAGGUCACCAGAGAAGCCAGUGGGGAAAAUCACCUGGGGCCUUGACAUCAUGGAGCCACUGAGACACCAAACUUGGAGGCCCUGCAACAACCCUUAUUGAUAUAAUGCUCACCCAGCAAGUAACUAUUUUAGCAGCAACUUGCUUUAUGGUCAUGGAGUGGGGCAAUCAGAAGGAAGUGCCCUCUUUUUUUUGGACGGAGGUACAACAGUGUGAAGCUGCCCUGGAGAGGAGAGGCCGGAAAAGGAAUGUAAAGAGAGUUAGCCAGUAGGACCCUCACACGAGCAAGCCCAGAAGCGUGUGUGUCCAACAUCUUAACCUUUGAACGUGGGAGGAACACACGGAGCUCACUAAAACUGCAUGCAUGCUUCUGCGGUCUGCAGUGCUAAUAAACAUCUGGAAUCCAGUGGCCAUCACUCUGAGCACCUCUUGGAAUUGCAGAGGCCAAAGUUAACUUGUAUUAAUCUCAUGAUGUUUCAAUAAAUUUAGUAUUAAAUAUUAA